AAACAGUGGGGCCUGGUUCUGAUUCAAGCGUCUGUGUUACCCGUUGCUUGAAGGUUAUCGGAAUGAAACAUUGCAAACACGAAAUCCUUCCUUUGGCAACAGCUGAGGAUAAAAGGGAAGGAAAAGCCUCCUAGCUUGUAUAUGAAUGGAGCAUCCGGGGCCAAUUAAUUUUCAAGUAUCUGCAUGUUUAUUUAAAGAAAGACGCCACGACAGGCUACAGAUGCUGGAAUCCGGAGCAUCAAACAAUCUGUUGGAGGAACUCAGCAGGUCGAGUCGCAUGCGUGGAGUGAAAUGUGCAGUCGGUGCUUCGGGUCGAGAUUGAGUUCACGGAUAAUAUCUGACCUGCUGAUUUUCAAAUUCAGAUUUAAUUACUGUUGUAUUAUACAUGGAUACAACUGAACGAAACAGCGUUCCUCUGGGACCAAGGUACAAAACAUACGCAGCGCAUUCAAAAUAGCGAGCCAGAAAAAAAACAUGACCACGUAAAAAAGAACACAUAUAGUCCAAGACCCUGAGCAACAUGUCCCACAGAUAGAUUGUUCAGAUUCUUGGCCGCGGGCGGCCACUGCAAUCCUGCCUUACACCGAUUGAACACUGGAGGGCAGCACCAAUGGAGAGAGCAGCCUCAACCGAGCACGGACGCCACGCUACACCGCCCCCCAGUGUC
This is a long non-coding RNA of Hypanus sabinus (Atlantic stingray), 667 nucleotides long. RefSeq lists it as uncharacterized. NCBI's taxonomy places the organism in Eukaryota, Metazoa, Chordata, Chondrichthyes, Myliobatiformes, Dasyatidae. The transcript is spliced from 3 exons. The record is from RefSeq and is a predicted model, not a curated record.